GGAGAUUUAUUUUAUUUAAAAUAUA
Molecule: transfer RNA, 25 nt
Filed under: Dracunculus medinensis (Guinea worm)
Lineage: Eukaryota; Metazoa; Nematoda; Chromadorea; Rhabditida; Dracunculidae
Description: partial tRNA-Ala
Source: RNAcentral